UUAAACUUUAGACAUUAUAAUACAAACCUAUUUUAACUCCAAACUCUACUUAUAACUCCAAACCCUCUAUCGUAUUUCAAAUUAUAUACAACAUGUAUUAAUCCAUGACAUUUAAUCAAUCACACAAAUUGUCAAAAAUUUGAUACAAAUUUUAGAUUUUAAAAUUUAAAUUAUAAAUCAAAUUAUUUAAAAUUUUAGAUAGUUUUUAUAAUAACUACAAAUAAAUAAAGGAUAAUUUGUAUUGUUUAUUUUGAGCCAUUGAUGAGUUUAGAUCAAAGGCUCAAAACAACUAUUCUAUCAAUCCUCGCCUUUUGUUUCUAUUGGUUAGGCGUGGAUCACCUUUUGAACCGUUAGAUGGCAUCGAAUCAACGCUUGAGAUUAAUUGUUAUUUUUAAUUGUUUUUAAUUACUGUGAACAGAUCUCGUCUCAAACACGAGACAGAGACGAGAGAGAGAGAGAGAGAGAGAGAGAGAGAGAGAGAGAGAGAGAGAGAGAGGAGAUGGACUUCGAUGGGUAAGCAAGGAGGAGACGCGACGGUCGGUCACCACUACCGCUCGUCAUAACCACCUCCGAUUGAACCUUGUCACCUCCUCCUCUAUCAAACCCCUCUGAAUCUCCAACCCUUGUCACCACCACCAUCGCUACUCAGAUCCAUCUUGACCGGAGUCGCUACCACCACCGCUCGUCAUAACCACCACUGAUUACAUCUCUGUCUCUCACAUCGAUUUGGAGUAUGCUUCUCAGACGCAAGAAUUCCAAGAGGGAUGAGAUGGAAGUUGUGGUGAGAUGGAAGUGGUGGUGGUCUCGGCAUCAACAGUGGUAGUCUCGGCGUCGACAAUGGUGGCUGAGUGCGGUGGAGGAGAUUGAAGAAGCUUGCUGUGGUGGUCGUGGCUGGUGGUGGUCGUGGCUGGUGGUAUGGGCGUCAACAAGGAGAGCGGCGGAGAUGAAGAAGAACGUGGUUUAGUUAGGGUUAGUUAGGUUUAGUUAGGGUUGGUUAAUAAACCGGGUUUGUAUGUAAACCAGUUUUUUGUAAUAAACCGAUAUCAUUUUGUAAACCAAAAUUUCAAUUAUAAAUAAUUUUAUUCUCAAACCAAA
Long non-coding RNA from Raphanus sativus (radish), 1095 nucleotides. RefSeq lists it as uncharacterized. Lineage: Eukaryota; Viridiplantae; Streptophyta; Magnoliopsida; Brassicales; Brassicaceae. The record is from RefSeq and is a predicted model, not a curated record. The transcript is spliced from 2 exons.